Molecule: small RNA, 133 nt
Filed under: Flavobacterium noncentrifugens
Lineage: Bacteria; Pseudomonadati; Bacteroidota; Flavobacteriia; Flavobacteriales; Flavobacteriaceae
Description: Flavo-1 RNA
Rfam family: Flavo-1 RNA
Source: RNAcentral
UCCGCGUUAGGGAUGGAAGCGGCAUCCUUUUGUAUUUGAAAUUAAAAGGAAAACAGCCAGUGGCUGUUAGGUAUUUGCUUUAGCAAAACAUCCAUUAACAAAACAAAAGAUACAGCGGACAGCCCGGAGUGCA